GUGGGGAAUUUUGGACAAUGGGCGCAAGCCUGAUCCAGCGACGCCGCGUGAGUGAUGAAGGCCUUCGGGUCGUAAAGCUCUGUUGCAGGGGAAUAAAAAAAUGAAGGUACCCUGUGAGGAAGGAUCGGCUAACUUCGUGCCAGCAGCCGCGGUAAGACGAGGGAUCCUAGCGUUGCUCGGAAUCAUUGGGCGUAAAGAGGGCGUAGGUGGCUUGGUAAGUCAGGUGUGAAAGCCCAGGGCUCAACCCUGGAAGUGCAUUUGAUACUGCUGAGCUUGAGUGUCGGAGAGGUUACCGGAAUACCUGGUGUAGUGGUGAAAUACGUAGAUAUCAGGUGGAACACCGGAGGCGAAGGCGGGUAACUGGACGAACACUGACACUGAGGCCCGAAAGCGUGGGGACCAAACAGGAUUAGAAACCCGAGUAGUCC
This 428-nucleotide ribosomal RNA is filed under the name uncultured bacterium. RNAcentral describes it as "partial 16S ribosomal RNA". It matches the Rfam family "Bacterial small subunit ribosomal RNA", at positions 354 to 796 of the family's 1533-position model. The record is from RNAcentral.